This 605-nucleotide ribosomal RNA is filed under the name Colletotrichum fioriniae. RNAcentral's name for it is "eukaryotic LSU rRNA". It matches the Rfam family "Eukaryotic large subunit ribosomal RNA", at positions 38 to 667 of the family's 3401-position model. The record is from RNAcentral. Lineage: Eukaryota; Fungi; Ascomycota; Sordariomycetes; Glomerellales; Glomerellaceae.
GCAUAUCAAUAAGCGGAGGAAAAGAAACCAACAGGGAUUGCCCCAGUAACGGCGAGUGAAGCGGCAACAGCUCAAAUUUGAAAUCUGGCCCCAGGCCCGAGUUGUAAUUUGCAGAGGAUGCUUUUGGCGCGGUGCCUUCCGAGUUCCCUGGAACGGGACGCCAUAGAGGGUGAGAGCCCCGUACGGUUGGACACCAAGCCUUUGUAAAGCUCCUUCGACGAGUCGAGUAGUUUGGGAAUGCUGCUCUAAAUGGGAGGUACAUUUCUUCUAAAGCUAAAUAUUGGCCAGAGACCGAUAGCGCACAAGUAGAGUGAUCGAAAGAUGAAAAGCACUUUGAAAAGAGGGUUAAACAGCACGUGAAAUUGUUAAAAGGGAAGCGCUUGUGACCAGACUUGCGUCCGGUGAAUCACCCAGCUCUCGCGGCUGGGGCACUUCGCCGGCACAGGCCAGCAUCAGCUUGCCGUCGGGGACAAAAGCUUCAGGAACGUGGCUCCUCUCGGGGAGUGUUAUAGCCUGUUGUAUAAUACCCUUCGGCGGGCUGAGGUACGCGCUCCGCAAGGAUGCUGGCGUAAUGGUCAUCAGCGACCCGUCUUGAAACACGGACC